UAGGGAAUCUUCGGCAAUGGGGGCAACCCUGACCGAGCAACGCCGCGUGAGUGAAGAAGGUUUUCGGAUCGUAAAGCUCUGUUGUAAGAGAAGAACGUGUGUGAGAGUGGAAAGUUCACACAGUGACGGUAACUUACCAGAAAGGGACGGCUAACUACGUGCCAGCAGCCGCGGUAAUACGUAGGUCCCGAGCGUUGUCCGGAUUUAUUGGGGGUAAAGCGAGCGCAGGCGGUUUAAUAAGUCUGAAGUUAAAGGCAGUGGCUUAACCAUUGUUCGCUUUGGAAACUGUUAAACUUGAGUGCAGAAGGGGAGAAGGGAAUUCCAUGUGUAGCGGUGAAAUGCGUAGAUAUAUGGAGGAACACCGAUGGCGAAAGCGGCUCUCUGGUCUGUAACUGACGCUGAGGCUCGAAAGCGUGGGGAGCAAACAGG
Molecule: ribosomal RNA, 429 nt
Filed under: bacterium
Lineage: Bacteria
Description: partial 16S ribosomal RNA
Rfam family: Bacterial small subunit ribosomal RNA
Source: RNAcentral